RNAcentral lists this ribosomal RNA (256 nucleotides) under uncultured bacterium. RNAcentral describes it as "partial 16S ribosomal RNA". It matches the Rfam family "Bacterial small subunit ribosomal RNA", at positions 524 to 777 of the family's 1533-position model. The record is from RNAcentral.
UACGGAGGGUGCGAGCGUUGUCCGGAAUCAUUGGGCGUAAAGGGCGCGUAGGUGGCUUCUUAAGCGUGCGGUGAAAGCCUGGGGCUCAACCCCGGGUCGGCCGUGCGAACUGGGGGGGCUGGAGCACUGUAGAGGCAGGCGGAAUUCCGGGUGUAGCGGUGGAAUGCGUAGAGAUCCGGAAGAACACCGGUGGCGAAGGCGGCCUGCUGGGCAGUUGCUGACACUGAGGCGCGACAGCGUGGGGGAGCAAACAGGG